Long non-coding RNA from Adelges cooleyi (spruce gall adelgid), 963 nucleotides. RefSeq lists it as uncharacterized. The record is from RefSeq and is a predicted model, not a curated record. NCBI's taxonomy places the organism in Eukaryota, Metazoa, Arthropoda, Insecta, Hemiptera, Adelgidae. The transcript is spliced from 5 exons.
UGCCCAAUUUUUUUUAAAUUUCUUAAUACACAAUUUUUUGUACUGAUCAAACUAUAAGGAACUUAGGAAAAAUAAGUGAAAAAGUAUAUAUAGCGCUCGAGCAGAGCUUGUUUUAACCUAAGUACACCGAAUAUUGGACUAUGAUCACAGUUUUUGGUUGGCAAGUUAUGUCCAUCUUAAUACAGAGAUGAGAAAAAAGUCGACUAAAGACUUUACUCAAAAAGAUUUUUUCAAGUUGAAUAACGCUGUUUUUGUUAAAACUGUGUUGGAAUGUCGGAAACAGAAUGAAAAUGUCAGUCGUCUGCACCCUCGAUGCUUGUCAAGGAUGUUGUACACUGAAAAUCUGUGUACGGUUCACCUUCAUAAAGAUGUGUUGACAUUUUACAAACCGGGAUAAUAUGUUGAGUUUUCUGUGUUGGAAAUUUCGCAAACUUUAAUGUACAAUUUUCAUUAUUAUAUAACGAAAAAUACUAUGCAAACGAUACCUGUACAAUUACUUUACACGGAUAAUCUAACGUACCUCAUCAAAGCAAAAGAUUUUGAUAAUGACUUGCUGUAGAAAUUGGAUAGAUUCAAAUUUCCACACCAUCACACGCGCUAAAAGAAAAAAAGUCUGCAAAACUUUUAACGACGAGACUUGAGGCGAAAUGAUUUCGGAGCAGAUUCGGCUAAAUCAUAUCAAUUGGGGGACGAGCACAUCAAGGCUACUGGCCAAGGGGUGGCUUGGAAGGAUUAUACGACUAAACCAUUCGACCGACUAUGAUAACGCGGACUCUUUGUUGUACCUGCCAGCCGGGGUAGCUGUGCUGUCAUCAGCCGUGGUGGAUGCACUACUUACUUCAAGUUGUCAACUUGAUAUUGUUACGUUAUUUAUAUUAUAUACAUAUUUAUAUCUGUUUGUAAAAAUGUUAUUUUUUGUUGUGCAUUGUUUUACAGCUCUAUAAAAAUUGUCCUCUAACAGAG